AGCAUCUCUCUGCAGCGCGUUGGUGUUGUACUGGUCCGUGGUGCUCUCCCGGCAGUUAGUGUCCUGUUCCGGCAGAAUGAAGGUAAAGAAGAGAGCCCAGAUAAGAUGAAUAUCCUGGCUGAAGCUGGAAAAUAUUAGAAGAUUUACCCCAAAAAGAGUUAAAAGAAAAUUUCCUGUAGAAAGUUGAAGGACCUCUAAAAGGAUUAAAUAGCUGUCUUCAGGAGUUACCACAGGGAACAUGGCACAUGAGAAAAAUGAUUAUUAAUAACCAAUGAUUUGGGGAGAUACAGAGUUCCCCCUUUUUCUACAAUCCUCAUUUCAAAGUUCAAUCUCUUGAAGCACAUUGAAUUAACUCUCUUCCAUAUUGGUCAGAUGCCAUCUAAACUUACAAGGAAUUUAAUCUAAGGCAAUUGGGGUUAAGUGACUUGCCCAGUCUCACACAGCUAG
Vombatus ursinus (common wombat) is the source of this 447-nucleotide long non-coding RNA. RefSeq lists it as uncharacterized. The transcript is spliced from 3 exons. The record is from RefSeq and is a predicted model, not a curated record. NCBI's taxonomy places the organism in Eukaryota, Metazoa, Chordata, Mammalia, Diprotodontia, Vombatidae.